RNAcentral lists this unclassified non-coding RNA (27 nucleotides) under Mus musculus (house mouse). RNAcentral describes it as "oocyte_clustered_small_RNA10732". The record is from RNAcentral. Lineage: Eukaryota; Metazoa; Chordata; Mammalia; Rodentia; Muridae.
UAGAAGACAAGGUGUGUGAUACAAAGG